Ooceraea biroi (clonal raider ant) is the source of this 664-nucleotide long non-coding RNA. RefSeq lists it as uncharacterized. The record is from RefSeq and is a predicted model, not a curated record. Lineage: Eukaryota; Metazoa; Arthropoda; Insecta; Hymenoptera; Formicidae.
CACGAGCUCACCUUCGGUGUUUCGGCGUUGUUUAAUCAUCCGUAACGCGACGUACGCAUAUUGUAAUGCUGGGCCCGUCGUUAUUACGUGGUAAAAUUCAACUGGUAUUGACGGUGGCACCUAUAAUGCAUCGAUAUAGAUAAUUGCGGUGACAGCGAACUCAACGGUCGUAGUAAAUCUCGGUGGGACAUUAUGCAAUAGCAACAGGAACAGAGCUGCUGGUGAGUCAAGUCAUUCAUUAUGCAUGGAAAACUAGUUUAAUUUCAAUAAUAACAGAAAUUCAAAUUUAUCUUAUAAAUUUAAGACAACAAAAGAAGAAAUUUUAAAACAACAAAUAGUAGUUAAAAUUACAUGAGUAAUUUUAGCUCAGGUUUUAGUCUCUUUUUCUCUCUUUUAUCUUUGUACCUAAAGGAAUUAUUUAAACUUUAUUAGAUCUAAUUUCAAUCAUUAAUGUUUAUAUAAAAUGAGCCUAUACAAUUUCCGACAAGUUUUUAUUUUAGACAAUUAAAACAAACGAUUUUAUUACAUUUAUCUAUGUUUAGAAAAAAUUAAAAAUGUUUGAAUUUAAUACUGUGAAUCACAUCAGAUCAUCAAUAAUAUGUAUAUAUUUAACCGUGACAAGAAAAACAAAAUUAAUUGUUAUUUCCUUAUUACUUAUCCUAUA